RNAcentral lists this ribosomal RNA (486 nucleotides) under uncultured bacterium. RNAcentral's name for it is "partial 16S ribosomal RNA". It matches the Rfam family "Bacterial small subunit ribosomal RNA", at positions 28 to 507 of the family's 1533-position model. The record is from RNAcentral.
GAUGAACGCUAGCGGCAGGCUUAACACAUGCAAGUCGAGGGGCAGCGCGGGAUAGCAAUAUCCUGGCGGCGACCGGCGGAAGGGUGCGUAACGCGUGAGCGACAUGCCCGUUGCCCGGGGACAACCGGUGGAAACGCCGACUAAUCCCCGAUGGGAUAUUGUGCCGCAUGGCACGAUAUUGAAAGUUACGGCGGCGACGGAUUGGCUCGCGUCCGAUUAGCUUGUUGGCGGGGUAACGGCCCACCAAGGCUGCGAUCGGUAGGGGUUCUGAGAGGAAGGCCCCCCGCAAUGGGACUGAGACACGGCCCAUACUCCUACGGGAGGCAGCAGUGAGGAAUAUUGGUCAAUGGGCGGAAGCCUGAACCAGCCAUGCCGCGUGCGGGAAGGAGGCCCUAUGGGCUGUGAACCGCUUUUGCCUGGGGGCAAUAAGGGCGUCGCGCACGUCCGAUGAGAGUACCAGGCGAAUAAGCAUCGGCUAACUCCGUG